This 253-nucleotide ribosomal RNA is filed under the name uncultured bacterium. RNAcentral's name for it is "partial 16S ribosomal RNA". It matches the Rfam family "Bacterial small subunit ribosomal RNA", at positions 524 to 776 of the family's 1533-position model. The record is from RNAcentral.
UACGGAGGGUGCAAGCGUUGCUCGGAAUUAUUGGGCGUAAAGCGCGUGUAGGCGGCUGGACAAGUCUGAUGUGAAAUCCUGGAGCUUAACUCCAGAACUGCAUCGGAUACUGUCUAGCUAGAGGAUGAGAGAGGAUGGUGGAAUUCCUGGUGUAGGGGUGAAAUCCGUAGAUAUCAGGAGGAACAUCGGUGGCGAAGGCGGCCAUCUGGCUCAUUUCUGACGCUGAGACGCAAGAGCGUGGGGAGCAAACAGG